RNAcentral lists this ribosomal RNA (949 nucleotides) under Acinetobacter seohaensis. RNAcentral's name for it is "bacterial SSU rRNA". It matches the Rfam family "Bacterial small subunit ribosomal RNA", at positions 39 to 983 of the family's 1533-position model. The record is from RNAcentral. Lineage: Bacteria; Pseudomonadati; Pseudomonadota; Gammaproteobacteria; Moraxellales; Moraxellaceae.
GCUGCGCGCUUACCAUGCAAGUCGAGCGGGCGAGGUUGCUUCGGUAACUGAGCUAGCGGCGGACGGGUGAGUAAUGCUUAGGAAUCUGCCUAUUAGUGGGGGACAACAUUCCGAAAGGGAUGCUAAUACCGCAUACGUCCUACGGGAGAAAGCAGGGGAUCUUUAUGACCUUGCGCUAAUAGAUGAGCCUAAGUCGGAUUAGCUAGUUGGUGGGGUAAAGGCCUACCAAGGCGACGAUCUGUAGCGGGUCUGAGAGGAUGAUCCGCCACACUGGGACUGAGACACGGCCCAGACUCCUACGGGAGGCAGCAGUGGGGAAUAUUGGACAAUGGGGGGAACCCUGAUCCAGCCAUGCCGCGUGUGUGAAGAAGGCCUUUUGGUUGUAAAGCACUUUAAGCGAGGAGGAGGCUUACCUGGUUAAUACCUGGGAUAAGUGGACGUUACUCGCAGAAUAAGCACCGGCUAACUCUGUGCCAGCAGCCGCGGUAAUACAGAGGGUGCGAGCGUUAAUCGGAUUUACUGGGCGUAAAGCGCGCGUAGGUGGUUAAUUAAGUCAAAUGUGAAAUCCCCGAGCUUAACUUGGGAAUUGCAUUCGAUACUGGUUAGCUAGAGUAUGGGAGAGGAUGGUAGAAUUCCAGGUGUAGCGGUGAAAUGCGUAGAGAUCUGGAGGAAUACCGAUGGCGAAGGCAGCCAUCUGGCCUAAUACUGACACUGAGGUGCGAAAGCAUGGGGAGCAAACAGGAUUAGAUACCCUGGUAGUCCAUGCCGUAAACGAUGUCUACUAGCCGUUGGGGGAUUUGAUCCUUUAGUGGCGCAGCUAACGCGAUAAGUAGACCGCCUGGGGAGUACGGUCGCAAGACUAAAACUCAAAUGAAUUGACGGGGGCCCGCACAAGCGGUGGAGCAUGUGGUUUAAUUCGAUGCAACGCGAAGAACCUUACCUGGCCUUG